This is a long non-coding RNA of Cannabis sativa, 575 nucleotides long. RefSeq lists it as uncharacterized. NCBI's taxonomy places the organism in Eukaryota, Viridiplantae, Streptophyta, Magnoliopsida, Rosales, Cannabaceae. The record is from RefSeq and is a predicted model, not a curated record. The transcript has 2 exons.
AACAACAUUCAGUCAAAAGCCCAACGUGUUCAGAGGAGAAGAAUCGAAGAGAAGGAGAUCUGUAAUAAUUGAAACUCACCCAUGAUUGAAUCAGAGAAAUAAUUGAAGGAUACGGAACCAUUACAAAUUUUGGUACAGAGCAAUGGGCAUUGGGAUGACAACAACUCAGCACAGGCAGAUUUGCAGCAAUCUGGAAACAACCCGGCAACAACUUCCAAGCAACAACUAUCUGCGCACACAAUUGUAUCAGUUCAAGACGAUACAUUUUUUCUAGGAACAGGGACCGUGACAUCAUAAUCAACCAUACAACAACCAGAAAACAACAAAGAAAAAACUACAGCAAUAGAUGAAUAUAAAAACAACUAAAAAAAAACUCAAUAACAACACAAAAAUAACAUCAAUAAAAAUACAUAAAAGAAAUACAAAAAGAAUGACAGAAUACAUUAGAUUUUUUUUUUUUCCUUUUCGGCACAAUGAAGCUUCUAAAGACAUAAAUAAAUUAAAAGGAUUCAUAUAUAAAUAGACUGCUACUACCUUUGAUGGAGAAGAGGAUUCAGUUUUUUUUUGGAGGCUAG